AAAAAAAAAAAAAUCAUAAUGUUUACAUAUAAUUUAGCCUCUUCUAUUGGUCUGUUAUAUCAGCAAAAUUUAUAUGCUUUGGAAAUUGCACCAUAUUUGGAUCUGUUGUCCCAAGGAUCUAUCAUACAAUCACUUUACUGGGUCUGUGAUCUUCUUGUUGGUCUGUAGGCAUUGCAAUCUUUCUCAUCACUUGGUGUUAUAUGUUUCUUUUAUCAAAAGACUUGUUUCUUUCUUACCAGGAACAUCCAUGGUAACCAUUCUAGUGGCAUCAUCCCAAUACAAUUUCAGUCAACACCAAAUUUAUGGUUGGUGAUCAUAGCCUGAGUAAUGUUGUUGCUUUUAAUCUGCAUACACUACCAUAUCAGAUUAUGCUUUGAUAAUUUUUUGCCUUUAUCUCUUAUUAGGUUUUGGGAGAAUAGGUUCCAUCCAAGAGGCAACUUAUUCACCUUAGGACUUCCCUUUGGAAACUAAGUAAAAUAUUAAUAGCCCACCAACAAUUGAAUCAAGUGUUUUUAAGAACUAACUUUUUAGGAAAGUUCAUGAGCACCAGAAAAAAAAAAUCGGAUCCUGGAGGAAAGCCCUCAUAGUUGAUGGAAGAAUUCUGAUGGUAAGUUGCAUGGUGCUCCUACUUCUUGUCCACAUUUAAUUGAGCUUGUGCACAAAAUCACAAAAGCUUGGAGAGCAAGUGAAAGUCCAUGGUAUUAUCUUCCAAUUACUACAAUCAAAGGUAAAAUUUUAUUAGCCUAUGUAUAUGCUUAUUGAUGAUCUAUAGUACUGUUAUAUAUCAGCUAUGGAUUGUUACCUUCCUGAUUUACCUUCCUUCCUGGUUAUUCAAUGGUCUUUGACUACAGUAGACGAAAGUCCACAAUUCCUUGCUCUCAAUCCUCCACUGAUGUUUAUGUGUCAAGGCAGAUUCCCACUACUUGCCAUGUCAGAUUUGAGGAAAUUUCUUCCAAGAGAAGUUUCUUCCAGAAUCCCAGCAAAUGCAAAACACACUAUAGCAAAGGUUCAAUCAGCUAGAAACAACAAUUCUUUGGGGUUUCCCUCAAAAGUAUCAGGCUAUUAUGUAGACAUGGACCAUGUUGUCCUUAGUUUACAACUUCGAUUGUUGUUGCAAGCAUGAUUGCAAACACUAGUACCUAACCAUGCCAGCUUCAUCCAUGUGACUUCAGUUCUUUGGGGUUCCUUAUUAUAUAUAGUCUAUUUUGAUCUUCAGAUUUUGAGUGACGAAUUAUGAAUCUCAAAAAAGCUUCAUUUAGCCAAAUCCAUACGAUGACAUGAUGGUUCUAGAAUUAUAUGUUUUAGAGUUGAAAACUGUGGUUAGAUACUUUUUUUUGUUUUUUUUUUCAGAAAGACAAAUUGGUUAUAUUGAUUUAAUCAAAGCAAUAAGAAAAACUAAAGAACACAUGGAUAUGGAAAAAAUUGGAGCAAACAUAGGUUCCUUGGUUAUGAUUUGGGUGAUGUUCUACAAAUAACUUCUUAUGAGUUAAAUUUCACCAAGAAAUCAGUGUGUCAUUUUGUAUCUAAACAGGAGAUGAGUAGUACAGCAAUAGUUACUGGUAAUCAUUAUAUGUUUGAUCAUCAUUAUAUCUCCUAAUGAAAUAUUGCAUGUUGAUUCUGAUCUUAUCUAAUAUUUUACCUGUAUAAUUGCUGGUCAACCAGAUUGUUAUGGUGACUGAAUCCAUUCGAGCUGCACUAGACUCUAAAGUUGCAAAGUUGCAGGAUUGUGUAUGAUAGUCAACCAAUGGAGUGGUGAAUCAGAGGGAUAACUUCAUAAAUGAUCUUUCUGUUAGCUUGGCAAGUGGACAGGUUCUAUCAGCUGAACUCCUUAAGCUCUGUUAUGUGUUCUGCCUUUUUUGUUGCUACUAGAAAGAAACUAUUGUAUAUCACAUCAUAUAGACCAAAAUGGUGCAUCUUGUUGAAGCAAGUGGUUUGCCAAGUAGUAUAAUCAGGUAUAAAUGGAAUCUUUUCUUAUCUCUAAUGCUUGUGUUACUGAUCAUGUGGGAUUUUAUUUGUGAUUUCAUUUUCUAUGAAUGCAGAAAUUUGGCAUGCAACAAAUUUAGUCAAAAUGUUCCCCACUCCCUCACUUUAAGGAAAAAUCUUUGACAAUUGUUAAUUGUUUUUCCCGAUACUGCCUAUUUUAUUGGUUACUACGGUUGGUUUAUAUUAUAAUGACUCAUAAAUAACAAUUAUAUUCUUAUAGGAAUCUGAACCACGAUUCAUUAUCUGGACCCAUUGGCAAUGUGUUUACUGGCCAACAUAAUAAAAAAGGAAUGUAUAUUUAUCGGCCUGUAAAAUCUAAAAGGAAGCAAGACAGUUAUAUUAUUAGGUGUUACCUAGUGGUAAUAGGUUUUCUUGAAGAUUAUGGCACAAUGAUAAGCCUUCUUUAUAUGGAUGUCUUAUGUGUUAAUAUUCUGUUGUGGAUGGAGUCAAAACUAAUUGAUAGUUGCUUAUAUAGUUUUAUCAGAAAUCAUAAUGUUUACAUAUUAUUUAACUUCUUCUAUUGGUCUGUUCUAUAAGCAAAAUUUCUAUGCCUUGGAAAUCAUACCAUAUUUGGAUCUAUUGUCCCAAUGAUUUAUCAUACAAUCACUUUUCUAGGUAUGUGGUCUUCUUGGCCCUCUCUGUAGGUCCCUUCAUAGCAAUCUUUCUAUCAACUGGUGUUAUAUAUUUCUCUUAUCAAAAGACUUGUUUCUUUUUUACCAGGAACAUCCAUGGUAAACAUUUUAUUAGCAUCAUACCAAGACAAUUUUAGUCAAUAGCAAAUUUAUGGAUUUGGGGAAAUAGGUUCCAUCCUAGAGACAACUUAUUCACCCUGGGAUUUUCCUUUGGAAAUUGAGCAGAAUAUUAAUAGCCUACCAACAGUUGAAUCAAGUGUUGUUCAGAACUACCUCUUUAGGAAAGUACAUGAACACAAGAAGAAAAAACCAGGUUAUGGAGCAAUAGCUCUUUUGGUUGUUGGGGAGGAAUUUUGUUGGUAAGCUGUGCAGUGCUCCUACUUGUUGUUCGCAUUAAUUAAGCUCAUGCACACAAUCACAAAAGCCUGGAGGGCUAUGAAAGUCCACAGUAUUAUCGUCCAACUACUACAAUUGAAGGUGUGAUACAUUAACAAAUGAUGUUGACACAAGAACCCUUAUUGAACCAUUUGAUUUUAAAUGAUGCAGUUGGUAGAGAAGUCCUUGUUAAGCAGGUUUUAUUUCCAUAUCUAGGAAUCUUUUAUUAUUUAUUUCUCUUUUGUUUUUUCUCCAUUUGUUUUCUAAAUUAACCUAGAUUGCAGUAAUGCCUCUACCAGUGUGUUUUAUGCAACUGUUCAACCAUCUUAAGAAGUGUGGUAGGCAAAGGUAAGUUCGAUUUACAUAUUCAAUGUUAUUCUUAUAUAUAUUUAUGCAACUGUUCAACUAUCUUAAAAAGUGUGGUAGGCAAAAAAAUCCCCAAAAGGUAAGUUUGAUUUACAUAUUCAAUGUUAUUCUUAUAUGUAUUUUUUCUCAUAGAAGCAAUUAUCAUCAUCUCCAUAAUCAUUACCAUCAUCCUUGUUGUCAUUGUUGACAUUG
This is a long non-coding RNA of Vitis riparia (riverbank grape), 3548 nucleotides long. RefSeq lists it as uncharacterized. NCBI's taxonomy places the organism in Eukaryota, Viridiplantae, Streptophyta, Magnoliopsida, Vitales, Vitaceae. The record is from RefSeq and is a predicted model, not a curated record. The transcript has 3 exons.